UCGCCGCAGCCUUGAGCUCGUGCGGACGGGCAGUUUGCACGUGUUUCACGCUCGCUGGCGUUCUCCCUUGUCCGAAUUAGUGAUACCACGAGAAAGCGGUAUCCACCUACAGCAAUAAGAUUUUUCGGGCAAGUUGGUUCAUACUGAAUGAAGAGUAAACUGCACGAAACGAAGAAACGCAUACAGCGAAGCGCUGAAGCUGCGUUUCUAAAUGUCCUGUGUUUCUUCCUGUCAUCUUAACGUUUCGCGCAGUUUAGGCUCACGAGCCUGAAGAUCUGGCCAAUAUGCUUGAUUGUAGCAUGAUCUUCAUCCCCACCGAAGCUUCUCACCACGCCAAAGAAGCUCUACAAAAAGAAAGAUGAGGUCGGUCUUUCACCACACAAGCCACAAAAAAGAAAAAGAAGUCGACUUUUUCAUUCCGUGUAGAUGGUUAAUCAGCGAAGUUGAAACGUGCGGCCCCUGUGUUUAUCACUGGGUUAAUCCCGAGGGUUCAAUAAAGUAUUUCUCAAUUAUGAGGGUACACAAACAAUUGGCUGGGACGGAGAGAACAACAUCACUGACGGUAUGUCCGCAAUCCGCAGUUGUCGCUUGCGUUCGAUGUCUCGAGUUUGCUCGGCGGCGUGGUUAGCAGCCUUCGCCCGCGAUUUGCCGCUUGUGAUUCUUCGAAAUUAAAUUUCUUCAAAAUUAAAUCUGUCCGUUACGUAAGACAAUGAGUGGCUCAUACUCCCUUAAGCAAUGGCUCAUACCCCGUAAACGCGGCCUCCACAUUACGGUGACAGAAGUGAAGUGAAAUUCUACGCUGGAAUGAUGAACGGCAACGCAACUAGCUGUGGAAGACGACGACGAACGCGCGCGCCGUGGAUAUCGCAGAGAGUUCCCGGUCGGCACGAGGAAUCGCUCUGUUUCACGCCAAGCGAAGCGUCGCAUUGCUGGGAGCACAGAAAAAGUGGUGCGCCGAAUUGUCGACAUCGUUCAUGUUCAGCCGCUUAUGCAGCCAGGUACGCAGCACGUCAUCAUCGUCUGCUGAUAUUCUUAAGAAACUCGGCGAAGGCUACAGUUUCACGGAUGACAUGCUUGCUGAAAUUCGCCGUCAACAACGAACCACAGAAUACACCAACGCUGCACCGCGCUAGUGAGGAAGUGAAGCUGGGCGCGACUGCAGCGCCACGAAGGCGCGGGUGGGUGGCGGUUCCGCGCAACGGCGCCGAGUUUUAAAACUGAAGCUAGUCUAGUAACGUUGGUUCUGGCGGCACCGUCGCCUUCAAAGAAUGUCUCCACCCUGAACGGAGCGGCGGGCGAGGAGGACAUCGAGGCACCCUAGCGGUACAGUGUACUAGAAUAGGCAGUGGAACGACCGCGCUCCUUGGGCGACUAUCCAUGAGAAACUAUGCGACUAUCGCGGCGGCGAAAGAGAAGCGUAUCCCCGCAGGCUGGCUGUACCCGGUUUGGAGGCAAACCGGAUGUGACGUGUGCCAGUGGCGUACUCCCUGCCCCCAGAUAGGUACUUGUACGCCUAGGGAAAGACGCUGCUAGGUGCUGCUGCUAAAUCCCUGUGGUUUCUGCCAGCCACAUGCGGCCAUUGCCGGCUCACGUAGGUUCGUUCGCGUGGUCUUGUUACGCCUCGCUGGAUCGUGUUCAGUCAUGCCGUCCUUGCGCGGCGUGAUUGUCGGUGAGUCAGGUUAAAUUCUUAAAUAGGUCGCGCCUGCGCCUAAUUGAGUCUAUAAAAGCCUGCACAUUCAGUUUUGCUAGCUACAAUGCAGUGCGGCUGGCGUGAGCUGUCUCCACGAUGCGCUUCAAGCGUGUCGAUUUCGCCGUUCUUUAUGUUGGCGUUAACGACCUUGAAAGCAACAUGGAUCCACAAGGAAUGUGCGACAACAUCAAGGUAAGUCUACUGAAAUCACAAAAUUUGAAACAAUAAGCGCUAAUAGUUGUGUUUUCUUUUAAAUUUUAGGCCUUGAUUGUUCAACGAGACGGCCCCCGUCGUGCUGGUUUUCAAGGUGCUCCCUCGCUGCCUAGAAGAUGCUGAUGCGGAAUAGAAAAUGCAAAAACGUCGCUUGCUCAAACGCAAAUUGACGGCUACGCUGAAGCGCAUGCCGUGUCUGCGGAAUUUGAACCCCGAGCUUUCCAGAGUUCCUUGGAAAAUCCUCCCAUGCACCUGCCAUGUACAUUGCCCUCCUCCUCGAUGUGGCGUGCAAGAUGGCAGCAGCAGCUGUGGGAACAGUUGAAGAGGCGAAGAAAGGUCCACUUUAUAAUAGGUUGUAUGUAAAUAAAACUGAUCGACCUCAA
Non-coding RNA from Dermacentor andersoni, 2286 nucleotides. Lineage: Eukaryota; Metazoa; Arthropoda; Arachnida; Ixodida; Ixodidae. The record is from RefSeq and is a predicted model, not a curated record.